Tribolium castaneum (red flour beetle) is the source of this 2316-nucleotide long non-coding RNA. RefSeq lists it as uncharacterized. Lineage: Eukaryota; Metazoa; Arthropoda; Insecta; Coleoptera; Tenebrionidae. The record is from RefSeq and is a predicted model, not a curated record. The transcript has 5 exons.
AGGGAUCAACUUUUAGUGUGUGAAAUAAUUUUUAUUGAAAUAUCAACAGUCAACACAACCAUCAUGUCUAAACAUCCCGCAGGUUACUAUGGGGACUAUAACCCAGAUUUGGUUGUUAACCACGCUGGGUUAACCGAAGAGGAGGUGGACCACCUCCUCACCCAAAUUCCCGCGGGCACCUUCGAGUGGGUUUCCCUUAUUAACAUCUAUCUGCGACUGGAACCGCCCCCAUCCCUUGGAGGUUAUUUUGAUAUUUUUACCGUGGGGCGCUUGACCGCCGCGAUAGACACCGAUGAGGAGCGGGGUAUAAUUGACAUUUGGGUAUGGGUACAUUAAACCUCAUACAUGUUGGAUCGUUUUAUGAUGUUCAUAGCGUUUUUUAUGAUGUUCAUAGCGUUAGGUUUGGCUUAAAAACUGCAAUUAAAAAUUUAUUUAGGUGUAUGACUUUUUUAGUUUAAGUAUGUAGUUUGUUUUAUGUAUAAUAAAAAAUAAUAUUCAUUCUGAUUAUUUUUGUGAUCUUAUUUCCUGUCUAACGUUUUUUUCUUGUAAAUUUAUGAAUCAAAAAUUUUAUAAAUAUCCAGUUGUAUUUGAUUAUUAAUUUAUCGUUACAAUCAUUUUCCCCAAAAAAUUUAUAUCCAAUAGUUUACAAACAAUAUAUACAUUUCUAAUAGUUAAAACACAUUUAUACAUCUUUUAUAAAAAAAGUGGAUUUGUUUAAUUGAAAUAGGUAAAAAUUCAUAUCCAAAACCUUAAUUAAUUACUGGGCGGUUAACAUUUUUUACCAAAAGAUUUUGAAGAAUUUACAACAAUUUAUCAUAAACCCUCAACAGAUGAUAUAGUAAUUAUUGUAAAAGCUGAAGUUUAUAUUUUUUUCAUUAUCUACUUUUAGAUUUAAAACUAAUUAUCCGAAAUCUAUAAGCGAAGAAUUUAAAAUAUCAAGUCCAAUUUCGGCAGCGAUAACAACUUACUCAGGUGGUAUUUAUCUUUUUCUCAGAGAUAAUACAUAUAUUACAUUAUCUAGUUGCAUCUCUGGAUAUAAUGUUCCUGGUUUAACAAACGAAUUAUUUGAAGGUGUUCCUAAUAAAAUAACAAGGACAUUUAGAUAUUUAAACGGAAAGCUGUACUUUUUUAAUGAAAAUAAUUACUUUGAAUAUGAUGAGUUUACUAAGAGUGUCAUACAAGCGGGACCUAAAACUUUAUCUAUAUUUAACAUUAAUUGUCCGCGAGAACCCAUCUUAAUUCAAUUGAAAAAAUUAUCUUUUAAAAAGAUUAUUACACACAAUGCAGUCCUGGUUGAAAAUUUAACAGAUUAUACUCGUGAAGAAGAUAGUUGGUGUAGUUGGUGUAUUCAUCAGUGUUUGUUUACACUUCAGACCUACAAAAGUUGUGCCAAAAAGACGCAUCGUAAGUUUAUCGAAAAUAUUGACUUCGGCACAAGUUCUUCAUCCACAAAUUCUUCCGAUUCAGACUACUGAAUUCUUCUCUAAAACCAACAUAAAUAAUCUUUUUUUGGUAAAUUCUUUAAUUUUUUAAAUUUGUUUACCACAUUUGAUUGCUAAAAAUGUGUUUAAUUUUUUAGGAAAAUUUUUAUCAAAUUUUUAUCAAACAAAAAGUGCGUCACAAAAUUCCUACGAUAAGGAAAGCGUGUUAUCUGUUAACCGCAAAAAUUGAUUAUAAAAGUUCCGUUUUUUACACAUUUCACCAGUUUUAUUAAAACUAUCUUUGUGAGAAGUUGUAUGUGCUCCGCUGUGUAUUUUUGCAUUUAAAUUUCAAAGGAUUCUGUAAUGGCUGAUCAACUAUUAAAUCUGAAUAAAAUUGCUGCCUGUGAAUAUACUGAUACAUAUGUCAGUGCCAACGAUUUGGAAGUGAACAAGAAAUAUAAAAUCAUCAAUUUAACCAAGGCAAACACACAACAUGGGGUUAUGAUGGUAGCAUAUCUGGACAACGUCGGUAAAGUUUUUUUACCUAAACGACUAACAGCAGUUAUGAAUGAUACCAUAAUUACGACACUAAUGGAAGGACUCGGAUCUUAUUUGAUUUAUAUGGGACGUAAGCAAGCUAAUGGAAAUCAGGAACAUGAUGCCCACAUUUUUAAUUUCGAACGUAUUGUUCACGAAGAUUAAUGUAAAAUUUUUUGGUUUCCAAAAUAGACAGCACUAUCCACUCUACCUACCUGAGGUUCGACUCCCCAUGGAAGGAACAACAACAACAACAACUUUUUUUGCAUUAUAUUUUAAACAAAUAACAAAAUAAACUUGGUGCGCAACAGACAAGUUAGGCAAACAACAUUACAAAAAUAAAAAACUACAUAUACUA